This 382-nucleotide ribosomal RNA is filed under the name uncultured eukaryote. Its description in RNAcentral is "partial 18S ribosomal RNA". It matches the Rfam family "Eukaryotic small subunit ribosomal RNA", at positions 592 to 976 of the family's 1831-position model. The record is from RNAcentral.
CAAUAGCGUAUAUUAAAGUUGUUGCAGUUAAAAAGCUCGUAGUUGGAUUUCUGGUUGAAGCGACCGGUCGGGCGUUGAUUCGUCUGCACUGGAGUCGGUUUUGGCCAUCCUCUAGGAAAGUGCGUCUGGUAUUAAGUUAUCGGGCGUAUGAUCCUGGUCUUUUACUGUGAAAAAAUUAGAGUGUUUAAAGCAGGCCUUCGCCUUGAAUACAUUAGCAUGGAAUAAUAAGAUAGGACUUUGGUCUAUUUUGUUGGUUUGCAGACCGAAGUAAUGAUUAAUAGGGAUAGUUGGGGGUAUUUAUAUUCCGAUGUCAGAGGUUAAAUUCUUAGAUUUUCGGAAGAUAAACUUAUGCGAAAGCAUUUACCAAGGAUGUUUUCAUUAA